RNAcentral lists this ribosomal RNA (781 nucleotides) under uncultured Lactobacillus sp. RNAcentral describes it as "bacterial SSU rRNA". It matches the Rfam family "Bacterial small subunit ribosomal RNA", at positions 28 to 776 of the family's 1533-position model. Lineage: Bacteria; Bacillati; Bacillota; Bacilli; Lactobacillales; Lactobacillaceae. The record is from RNAcentral.
GACGAACGCUGGCGGCGUGCCUAAUACAUGCAAGUCGAGCGAACAGAAGCAGCAGAAUUACUUCGGUAAGGACGCUGUGGAAGUUAGCGGCGGAUGGGUGAGUAACACGUGGGUAACCUACCCUUAAGACUGGGAUACCACUUGGAAACAGGUGCUAAUACCGGAUAGGAGUAUGAGCUGCAUGGCUUAUACUUUAAAGGCGGCGAAAGCUGUCACUAAAGGAUGGACCCGCGGUGCAUUAGCUAGUUGGUAAGGUAACGGCUUACCAAGGCGACGAUGCAUAGCCGAGUUGAGAGACUGAUCGGCCACAUUGGGACUGAGACACGGCCCAAACUCCUACGGGAGGCAGCAGUAGGGAAUCUUCCACAAUGGACGCAAGUCUGAUGGAGCAACGCCGCGUGAGUGAAGAAGGUUUUCGGAUCGUAAAGCUCUGUUGUUGGUGAAGAAGGAUAUAGGUAGUAACUGGCCUAUAUUUGACGGUAAUCAACCAGAAAGUCACGGCUAACUACGUGCCAGCAGCCGCGGUAAUACGUAGGUGGCAAGCGUUGUCCGGAUUUAUUGGGCGUAAAGCGAGCGCAGGCGGAGAAAUAAGUCUGAUGUGAAAGCCCACGGCUCAACCGUGGAACUGCAUCGGAAACUGUUUUUCUUGAGUGCAGAAGAGGAGAGUGGAACUCCAUGUGUAGCGGUGGAAUGCAUAGAUAUAUGGAAGAACACCAGCGGCGAAGGCGGCUCUCUGGUCUGCAACUGACGCUGAGGCUCGAAAGCAUGGGUAGCGAACAGG